RNAcentral lists this ribosomal RNA (483 nucleotides) under uncultured bacterium. RNAcentral describes it as "bacterial SSU rRNA". It matches the Rfam family "Bacterial small subunit ribosomal RNA", at positions 791 to 1268 of the family's 1533-position model. The record is from RNAcentral.
UAGUCCACGCCGUAAACGAUGAGUGCUAGAUAUCGGGAGUUUUACUUUCGGUUUCGCAGCUAACGCAUUAAGCACUCCGCCUGGGGAGUACGAUCGCAAGAUUAAAACUCAAAGGAAUUGACGGGGGCUCGCACAAGCGGUGGAGCAUGCGGUUUAAUUCGAUGCUACGCGAUAAACCUUACCAACCCUUGACAUGGUGAUCGCAGGGAUCAGAGAUGAACCCUUUCAGUUCGGCUGGAUCACACACAGGUGUUGCAUGGCUGUCGUCAGCUCGUGUCGUGAGAUGUUGGGUUAAGUCCCGCAACGAGCGCAACCCCCAUCCUUAUUUGCCAGCGGUUCGGCCGGGGACUAUAAGGAAACUGCCGGUGAUAAACCGGAGGAAGGUGGGGACGAUGUCAAGUCAUCAUGGCCCUUACGGGGUUGGGGCUACACGCGUGCUACAAUGGUAAUUACAGAGGGGAAGCAAUACAGCGAUGUGGGAGC